CCAAUUUAUGUUGUAGCUUGAUGUGUUUUAUUUUAGCAAAAGCUAGAGAUGUCUCUAGCAUAUGAUUCUGGCAUUAAGCAGGUAACUCAUCAGCACACUUUUGUCGGGAUAAAUUUGUUAAUUUGUCAUUGGUAUCUUGCUUAAUUAGGUCAGAGGAUUUCACAUGACUCUGUGUUUUAUAGCAACAACGGGUAAGUGGUAACAACAGGUGGGGCAUCCAAGUAUUUGUCAGAAACUGAAAUAUUUCUUUUUGUCACCAUUUCGCAUGAUUAAAGGGGAGUGCACACCAUUUUUCUCAUGGAAGUUUGACUAUCCUUAAGGAAUUGGUGGAGCAUUAAUUAGGGAAAAGUAGUUUUCAAUGUCCAAAUUUCUCAUUGUUCGGUUGCAGGUAGUAGGAAAUGGAGAAAGAAAUGUUGUGGACACCACUGAAUAGGUAAGUCAUUCAGUUAAUUUGUUUGAGAGGUAGAUGUGAAUUUUACUUCUAAUUUU
Molecule: long non-coding RNA, 489 nt
Organism: Rhododendron vialii
Lineage: Eukaryota; Viridiplantae; Streptophyta; Magnoliopsida; Ericales; Ericaceae
Exons: 3
Source: RefSeq, a predicted model, not a curated record